GAUGAACGCUAGCGGGAGGCCUAAUACAUGCAAGUCGAGCGGUAGAGUGACUUCGGUUGCUUGAGAGCGGCGAACGGGUGAGUAACGCGUACACAAUCUACCUUUAAGAGGGGAAUAGCCCUGGGAAACUGGGAUUAAUGCCCCAUGGCAUCACGAGACGGCAUCGUUUUGUGAUUAAAGCUGAGGUGCUUAGAGAUGAGUGUGCGUCUGAUUAGCUAGUUGGUGCGGUAACGGCGCACCAAGGCGACGAUCAGUAGGGGGCGUGAGAGCGUGGACCCCCACACGGGUACUGAGACACGGACCCGACUCCUACGGGAGGCAGCAGUAAGGAAUAUUGGUCAAUGGAGGAAACUCUGAACCAGCCAUCCCGCGUGCAGGAAGAAUGCCCUAUGGGUUGUAAACUGCUUUUAUCUGGGAAGAAAAGUCGGGAUUUAUCCUGAUCUGACGGUACCAGAGGAAUAAGCACCGGCUAACUCCGUGCCAGCAGCCGCGGUAAAGUAUCG
RNAcentral lists this ribosomal RNA (503 nucleotides) under uncultured bacterium. RNAcentral describes it as "bacterial SSU rRNA". It matches the Rfam family "Bacterial small subunit ribosomal RNA", at positions 28 to 527 of the family's 1533-position model. The record is from RNAcentral.